GUCCACGCUGUAAACGAUGAGCACUAGGUGUCGGGGGUAUCGACCCCUCGGUGCCGCAGCUAACGCGAUAAGUGCUCCGCCUGGGGACUACGGCCGCAAGGCUAAAACUCAAAGGAAUUGACGGGGGCCCGCACAAGCAGCGGAGCGUGUGGUUUAAUUCGACGCAACGCGAAGAACCUUAACCUGGCUUGACAUGCACGUGGUACGAGUGGGAAACCACGAGGACCCGCAAGGGAGCGUGCACAGAUGCUGCAUGGCUGUCGU
This 264-nucleotide ribosomal RNA is filed under the name uncultured bacterium. RNAcentral's name for it is "partial 16S ribosomal RNA". It matches the Rfam family "Bacterial small subunit ribosomal RNA", at positions 793 to 1055 of the family's 1533-position model. The record is from RNAcentral.